UACAGAGGUCUCAAGCGUUGUUCGGAUUCAUUGGGCGUAAAGGGUGCGUAGGCGGCGCGGUAAGUCGGGUGUGAAAUCUCGGAGCUUAACUCCGAAACUGCAUUCGAUACUGCCGUGCUUGAGGACUGGAGAGGAGACUGGAAUUUACGGUGUAGCGGUGAAAUGCGUAGAUAUCGUAAGGAAGACCAGUGGCGAAGGCGGGUCUCUGGACAGAUACUGACGCUGAGGCGCGAAAGCGUGGGAAGCAAACAGG
This 253-nucleotide ribosomal RNA is filed under the name uncultured bacterium. RNAcentral's name for it is "partial 16S ribosomal RNA". It matches the Rfam family "Bacterial small subunit ribosomal RNA", at positions 524 to 776 of the family's 1533-position model. The record is from RNAcentral.